GACGAACGCUGGCGGCGUGCCUAAUACAUGCAAGUAGAACGCACAGUUUAUACCGUAGCUUGCUACACCAUAGACUGUGAGUUGCGAACGGGUGAGUAACGCGUAGGUAACCUGCCUGGUAGCGGGGGAUAACUAUUGGAAACGAUAGCUAAUACCGCAUAAUAUUAAUUAUUGCAUGAUAAUUAAUUGAAAGGUGCAAUUGCACCACUACCAGAUGGACCUGCGUUGUAUUAGCUAGUAGGUGAGGUAACGGCUCACCUAGGCGACGAUACAUAGCCGACCUGAGAGGGUGAUCGGCCACACUGGGACUGGGACACGGCCCAGACUCCUACGGGAGGCAGCAGUAGGGAAUCUUCGGCAAUGGACGAAAGUCUGACCGGGCAACGCCGCGUGAGUGAAGAAGGUUUUCGGAUCGUAAAGCUCUGUUGUAAGAGAAGAACGGGUGUGAGAGUGGAAAGUUCACACUGUGACGGUAUCUUACCAGAAAGGGACGGCUAACUACGUG
This 505-nucleotide ribosomal RNA is filed under the name uncultured bacterium. RNAcentral's name for it is "partial 16S ribosomal RNA". It matches the Rfam family "Bacterial small subunit ribosomal RNA", at positions 28 to 507 of the family's 1533-position model. The record is from RNAcentral.